UGGGGAAUAUUGCACAAUGGGGGAAACCCUGAUGCAGCGACGCCGCGUGAACGAAGAAGGUAUUCGUAUCGUAAAGUUCUGUCCUAUGGGAAGAUAAUGACAGUACCAUAGAUUAAAGCUCCGGCUAAAUACGUGCCAGCAGCCGCGGUAAUACGUAUGGAGCGAGCGUUGUCCGGAAUUAUUGGGCGUAAAGGGUACGCAGGCGGUUUAAUAAGUCGAAUGUUAAAGAUCGGGGCUCAACCCCGCAAAGCAUUGGAAACUGAUAAACUUGAGUAGUGGAGAGGAAAGUGGAAUUCCUAGUGUAGUGGUGAAAUACGUAGAUAUUAGGAGGAAGACCAGUAGCGAAGGCGACUUUCUGGACACAAACUGACGCUGAGGUACGAAAGCGUGGGGAGCAAACAGG
RNAcentral lists this ribosomal RNA (403 nucleotides) under bacterium. Its description in RNAcentral is "partial 16S ribosomal RNA". It matches the Rfam family "Bacterial small subunit ribosomal RNA", at positions 355 to 776 of the family's 1533-position model. The record is from RNAcentral.